GGCCAGUUAGCUCAGUUGGUAGAGCAGCGGACUGAAAAUCCGCGUGUCCGUGGUUCGAUCCCGCGACUGGCCACCA
RNAcentral lists this transfer RNA (76 nucleotides) under Betaproteobacteria bacterium. Its description in RNAcentral is "tRNA-Phe". It matches the Rfam family "tRNA". From Rfam's summary of the family: Transfer RNA (tRNA) molecules are approximately 80 nucleotides in length. Their secondary structure includes four short double-helical elements and three loops (D, anti-codon, and T loops). Lineage: Bacteria; Pseudomonadati; Pseudomonadota; Betaproteobacteria. The record is from RNAcentral.